UGGUUUGAAUAUUAAAUCUACGGAGGUAAAAGAUGGGCAUGCGUAGCAUUAGUUAGUUGGUGAGGUAACGGCUCACCAAGACUAUGAUGCUUAGGGGGUCUGAGAGGAUAGUCCCCCACACUGGUACUGAGACACGGACCAGACUCCUACGGGAGGCAGCAGUGAGGAAUAUUGGUCAAUGGGCGCAAGCCUGAACCAGCCAUGUCGCGUGCAGGAUGACGGCCCUAUGGGUUGUAAACUGCUUUUUUACAGGAAUAAACUUUGCUACGAGUAGUGAACUGAAGGUACUGUAAGAAUAAGGAUCGGCUAACUCCGUGCCAGCAGCCGCGGUAAUACGGAGGAUCCAAGCGUUAUCCGGAUUUAUUGGGUUUAAAGGGUCCGUAGGCGGGCUUUUAAGUCAGUGGUGAAAUCCCGGAGCUCAACUCCGGAACUGCCAUUGAUACUGAAGGCCUUGAAUUUAGUUGAGGUGGGCGGAAUACGUUAUGUAGCGGUGAAAUGCAUAGAUAUAACGUAGAACACCGAUUGCGAAGGCAGCUCACUAAACUAACAUUGACGCUGAUGGACGAAAGCGUGGGGAGCGAACAGGAUUAGAUACCCUGGUAGUCCACGCCGUAAACGAUGAUUACUCGUUGUGCACAAUACACCGUGCGUGACUGAGCGAAAGCAUUAAGUAAUCCACCUGGGGAGUACGUUCGCAAGAAUGAAACUCAAAGGAAUUGACGGGGGCCCGCACAAGCGGAGGAACAUGUGGUUUAAUUCGAUGAUACGCGAGGAACCUUACCUGGACUUAAAUGUAGAUUGACCGGCUUAGAAAUAGGCUUUCUCUUCGGAGCAAUUUACAAGGUGCUGCAUGGUUGUCGUCAGCUCGUGCCGUGAGGUGUCGGGUUAAGUCCCAUAACGAGCGCAACCCCUAUCGUUAGUUGCUAACAGGUUAAGCUGAGGACUCUAGCGAGACUGCCACCGUAAGGUGAGAGGAAGGUGGGGAUGACGUCAAAUCAGCACGGCCCUUACGUCCAGGGCUACACACGUGUUACAAUGGCCAGUACAAAGGGCAGCUACCAGGCGACUGGAUGCUAAUCUCAAAAGCUGGUCUCAGUUCGGAUCGGAGUCUGCAACUCGACUCCGUGAAGUUGGAUUCGCUAGUAAUCGUAGAUCAGCAACGCUACGGUGAAUACGUUCCCGGCCCUUGUACCCUCCGCCC
RNAcentral lists this ribosomal RNA (1201 nucleotides) under Marinifilaceae bacterium. RNAcentral's name for it is "bacterial SSU rRNA". It matches the Rfam family "Bacterial small subunit ribosomal RNA", at positions 190 to 1395 of the family's 1533-position model. Lineage: Bacteria; Pseudomonadati; Bacteroidota; Bacteroidia; Marinilabiliales; Marinifilaceae. The record is from RNAcentral.